UCUAGACUUUAUCCAUUUGAUUCGAUUUGGCAGAAGUAAUUGAUUGCACGUAGAAUAGUUAUUCUGGGUGGAAUCGGUGUUGCUAAGGAUCCAUUACAAUUCGUCUCGGUGGUUCCAUUCAAGGAGAGAUAAAUUCAUCUUCUGCUGCUGUUGUUGAAGUAAGUCUGUUUCAACAACUAAUCAACAUUGGAGACUGUAGUUUGUUCUGUUGAUUCACUGCCUCAAACAUCUAAUACUACUUCCAUCAAAGAAAGAAUGACACUGAAGAGUCUGCCACCAGAUAUCAUAUUAGACAUACUUUCUCGACUACCAACUGAGUCUGUUUUAGACUGCAAGUUAGUUUGCAAAAGGUUGCUUAGUCUCCUUACUAGUAGAAGAAAUCAGUUCGCGGAGAUGCACCAUCGCCGUCAGUUACUGCAACUCGCUAAUGGUGAGUUUGGUAAUGCUGCUGCUUCUUCUUCUGUGGUGAAGAUGGGUCUUAUGUUUUCCAUUUUAUUGGACGAAGAAAAAGAUAGCGUAGGACCACGACUUUAUUAUGGAGACAAGUAUAAUGAUGAGAUGAAUAUCCAUGACAGUUUCUCAUACAAGACACUUAAAAAGACCAGCAUCAGCUAUCCUCUUAUCAAGACUGGUAUCCCUAAGAAUGUCAUAGUUGGUUCACUCAAUGGUUUGAUUUGUCUCAACAGGUAUCAUGAUGGAAUUCUUGAUCCUAUUUACAUAUGCAAUCCCAUGACCGGAGAAUAUGUCAAGCUUCCUAAACAUACCUUAUCCCCCCAAAACUAUAUAGGCGCAUUCGGGUUUGGAUACAUUCAUUCAAUAACCACUGUGUACAAGGUUGUUAGGAUCUACUAUGAGAAAUUCGAAGAUUAUGCCGUCGGGGAGGUCCAAGUAUAUACUAUUGGCAGUGGCAGUGGGUGGAGAACCAUAGGUAGAACCUCGUACUAUUUGUGUUUCCCCCAGCAUGUUGGAAUCUUUGCAAAUGGAGCUCUUAACUGGCUGGAGAAUAAGAAUAUCGUGGCUUUCAGUUUGGCGGACGAGGAGUUCCGAUUGGUCCAACAAGUACCUUGCCUCAAUCAUAACCUGCGAAACUGUACAUAUGGACUGCAAGCAUUGGGAGGGAAUUUGUGCCUUUGUCUACAAAAUAUCUCCGAACAUCUUCUAGAAAUAUGGUCAUUGAAGGGAACUGGUCCGCAAGAGAGUUGGAGUAGGGAAUUCAGCAUUGACUUGGCUAACAUGUUUCCUUGCGUGCCGUUAUUACUCACAAAGAAGAAUGAAGUGCUGUUGGUGCACGAAGGUGCAACACUUUAUUGUUAUGAACCCGAAAACAACUACUUGGAUAAAAUUUUGGGAUGAUGGUUCGAAGGAAAAUGCGAUGUAUCUUACUGCAUUUCCCCACAUGAACAACUUCCUCUCAUUGAAAUCUCUAGGAGAAAAAUCUAAGAGGAAAAAAAGAGCGAAAGAAGCUGUGCUGACAGUGUAAUCAAUGAGUUCAAUGGAGCCAGCCUCAAGUGAUCAAUUUAGCACUUCGCUGUAGCUAUUCUUAGAACAAGCGAGAUAUAACUAAGCAUAUCAUGCUUGUGCCAGUGGUUCUAGGGCGAUGCUUGUCAAGUAUACUUGCACUAGGUAAAGAUGGGAAUUUCUAUCCAGGAAAGACUUGUUGGAGGUGUCAUUUCUGAAAACUAGCAUUUUAUGAUUCUAGGUAAUGUACUGGCAAGUAGUGCUGAGAUACAUAGAAAUUUGAUUAAGUGUGGACCUCUAAGUGGAGGAGAGAGUGAACACCGACAAUCCAUGAGUGGAAAUGUACAGACAGAAUCUACUGGUGUUACCAAAAGAUUCAUGGUGAAGAUCGGCCAUCAUUAGGUUCUGAGGCUCAGGAAAAUGUGAACCUGAAAUUACUUGGAACUGGUUCUGGUGAUUCUCACACAGGUGCCGACACUGAGCUUCCUCUACAACCACAAGGGUCUGAAUCAGGCAGAGAAACCAAUCUGUCUGACAUUCCUGAGCAUGUGAGUUACAAGUUGUGUCAGCAGCAAUCUCACUGGAUGAAAUGUAUCAUUUUGUAUUUGCUCUGAGGGAGAGCGCGGGACCCUGCUUACUUAUCUGCCAUAAUUGUCUAGUAUUUGCGGAGUGCUGCUUCAGAAAACCUUAAGCUCUUGAGAGUCGAGACGUCAGAACUUCAUGAGAAGGAAGCUGGUAUGGAUAUGUUAAGGAAGCUCUAGUCACAUGAUCUAUCACGAUCUCCUUUUCUCUCCUUCUCCUUGUCGGGACGUCUCCGAUGCUCCUUGCCCAUUACUUUUUCAUGGUCAGGUUCAGGUCGGUCCACACUGAGAUCACGCUCAGCAUGAUAUGUUGUGGUUCUUUCCCUCUGCUGGUAUUGCAAGUAAAUACAAGAUGGCUAUUAUAUUGAAGCUCUUCGCUACAUAUGGAAGAACAAGGGCAUUUCAGUUUGCCCUUCAAUGUUUCUUGAGGCUGUAGUCUCUUUCAAUGACUCACAGCAUUUAUCAGCAGUAUCGAGCUUCUUCUCGGAUUCCAAUCCCACAUUCAAGAAUGCUACAGAUCAUAGCAUGUAAUGAAUGUUGAGGAAGACUUUUAUAUGACAGGAACAACCCUGCUAGGUACUAUUCUUAACUCAGUUGUGACUCAUGAGGACCAAAAACAUAUUAGUCUCAUAAAUCAUACUUCACAUGAAUUUAGUUGAAAUGAACGAUUCACAAUUGGUCUUUUUUUUUCUCAGAUGACAGUUCAAAUGUUACAGCAUACAAAUUGGAAGUUUGAGGCAGCUGUACUUUCAGUUGCAUUAUUUUUAAAGAUUUUGGUGUUGUUAUUUGACAAUCUACACUCUUUUGUGUGCUUUUAAUUUUCAGAGCUUAUGUCCCAGAUGAUGCAAACCAGUACAAGAGCAUCAUAAUUAACCAAGUAGAAAGCUGAGUUUGGUUGGCAAGUUUUGCUCCAUAGAAAAUUAGCUCUGUUUAGGUCCUUCAGGAUUCUCUGAGCGUUCAUCGCAACAUAAAAAAAUCCAAACUUAGCUCUCAAAACACAUUGACAUUGGAUUACAAGCCAUUUUACAAUGAGUCUUAGAGCAAUCAAGACCAAGUGACAAUUUUUCAGGUUUUAUCUGUGCAGGUUUUGAUCAUGAUUUGAGAAGAGAGGUACGCCACUAUUCCUGCUUCUCCUGACGGAACCUUUUUAUUCAGGAUUCUCCCAGUCCCGGAGACGGAACCUUUUUAUUCUCCAAGUCUCGGAGUCUCUGUCUGCCGUCUGCCAAUGUUAUAGUGGGUGGGCCCGAGGGGGGAAAGCCCGCUCGUGGCAAACUAAACGGCAACCAAAGAGCAUUUUUGGAAAGAUGUGUUUCGGUAUAAAAGCUUAGGGCAGCACCGAACCGAGAGAAGAAAAAAAAGGGGAGGAGCAACCGUUCACAGGAAAAUACCUGGUGUAUGUCGCUCACAUGUAGCUGUUCUUAAACCAGUCCGUGGUUUGAUUUGUUUUAUAGACACUGACAUAUCAUCUGUUUGCGUUUACAACCCCAGCACCAGAGAAUCAACACCUUAGAUUAAAUCUCUAAUCUUACAACAACAUGAACAAGAAGUUGAAGAAGAAGAAGCGACAGAAGAACAUGAACAAGAAGUUGAGGAAGAAGAAUUAAUAGAAGCAACAGAAGAAGAAGACGGAGUUUUUUUCGACUUAUCAAAUAAUCAUAUAAGUUUUGGAUAUGAUCCUGCCACCAAGGAACACAAAGUGAUUUCCAUUUGGGCUAAACAAAGAUCCGCCUUGCCAGGGGAAGAUUGGCUUUGCGAGAUUUUGACAGAGAUGCAAUUCUUGGAGACUGAUCGACGCAGUCCCACCGAUCUCACCUUUCCAUCUUAAGAGUGCGGCUUCUACUUAUGCCAAUGGUUCAAUAUAUUGGCUGCAUUAUGGGACUGACAUUAAACAUAGUGGUGCUAAUAAGCCGAUGGUUGUUGAAAUUAAUGUUGGUAGGGAGGAACUUAGAGUAAUCUCACUUCCUGACUCUAUCAUCAAUAAUGAUGACAUUAGUGCAACAACGUUUAAUUAUGGUUCUUUAAUGGAGGUCGAUGACCAUCUGGUUCUGUUAGCCAAAAAGAGACAUGCUGAAGAUUAUACUAUAUGGGUUAAGAAAAAA
Molecule: RNA transcript, 4138 nt
Organism: Papaver somniferum (opium poppy)
Lineage: Eukaryota; Viridiplantae; Streptophyta; Magnoliopsida; Ranunculales; Papaveraceae
Gene name: F-box protein At3g07870-like
Exons: 4
Source: RefSeq, a predicted model, not a curated record